RNAcentral lists this ribosomal RNA (969 nucleotides) under Flavobacterium johnsoniae. Its description in RNAcentral is "bacterial SSU rRNA". It matches the Rfam family "Bacterial small subunit ribosomal RNA", at positions 116 to 1091 of the family's 1533-position model. Lineage: Bacteria; Pseudomonadati; Bacteroidota; Flavobacteriia; Flavobacteriales; Flavobacteriaceae. The record is from RNAcentral.
CGUAUGCAAUCUGCCUUCCACAGAGGGAUAGCCCAGAGAAAUUUGGAUUAAUACCUCAUAGCAUCAUGACCCGGCAUCGGGAUAUGAUUAAAGUCACAACGGUGGAAGAUGAGCAUGCGUCCCAUUAGCUAGUUGGUAAGGUAACGGCUUACCAAGGCUACGAUGGGUAGGGGUCCUGAGAGGGAGAUCCCCCACACUGGUACUGAGACACGGACCAGACUCCUACGGGAGGCAGCAGUGAGGAAUAUUGGUCAAUGGGCGCAAGCCUGAACCAGCCAUGCCGCGUGCAGGAUGACGGUCCUAUGGAUUGUAAACUGCUUUUGUACGGGAAGAAACCCUCCUACGUGUAGGAGCUUGACGGUACCGUAAGAAUAAGGAUCGGCUAACUCCGUGCCAGCAGCCGCGGUAAUACGGAGGAUCCAAGCGUUAUCCGGAAUCAUUGGGUUUAAAGGGUCUGUAGGCGGUCUUGUAAGUCAGUGGUGAAAGCCCAUCGCUCAACGGUGGAACGGCCAUUGAUACUGCUGGACUUGAAUUAUUGGGAAGCAACUAGAAUAUGUAGUGUAGCGGUGAAAUGCUUAGAGAUUACAUGGAAUACCAAUUGCGAAGGCAGGUUGCUACCAAUGGAUUGACGCUGAUGGACGAAAGCGUGNUAGCGAACAGGAUUAGAUACCCUGGUAGUCCACGCCGUAAACGAUGGAUACUAGCUGUUGGGCGCAAGUUCAGUGGCUAAGCGAAAGUGAUAAGUAUCCCACCUGGGGAGUACGAACGCAAGUUUGAAACUCAAGGGAAUUGACGGGGGCCCGCACAAGCGGUGGAGCAUGUGGUUUAAUUUCGAUGAUACGCGAGGAACCUUACCAAGGCUUAAAUGCAGACUGACCGGUUUGGAAACAGACCUUUCGCAAGACGGUCUACAAGGUGCUGCAUGGUUGUCGUCAGCUCGUGCCGUGAGGUGUCAGGUUAAGUCCUAUA